This 208-nucleotide non-coding RNA is filed under the name Picochlorum sp. RCC944. Lineage: Eukaryota; Viridiplantae; Chlorophyta; Trebouxiophyceae. The record is from RNAcentral.
UUCACUUUGCUGCAGCAGCAAAACCAAAAACAAAAACAAAGAGCGGAAAAUUAAAAAAAAAAUUGAAACGCCGCGAGUUGGCAACGAAGACAAAUACACAAGUGAGUGACGUCUUCUUCUUCUUCUCUCUCUCUCUCUCUCUCUCUCUCUCCAAAAACUUCUGUCUCUCAAUUCUAUUUUCACAAGGAAACCACAGCGCCUCUACCGA